AUUCUUACUUAACUGGAAGAAAACAAGUAUGAAAGGUUGGUAUAAUGUGGCAUUCUGCUGUGGCAUGUGAUGCCAAAGAAAGUCCCAGCUGUUUGCUGCUGGCUGAUAGCUAUUAUGAAACUCUUCCCCAAGGUGUUGUCUGAUUUGAACAACUUAUUCUAUUUGGUCUAAUUGUGCAAAGAUGAAGUAUUGUGUGUUUUGAUCAGUA
This 208-nucleotide unclassified non-coding RNA is filed under the name Hevea brasiliensis (rubber tree). Lineage: Eukaryota; Viridiplantae; Streptophyta; Magnoliopsida; Malpighiales; Euphorbiaceae. The record is from RNAcentral.